GACGAACGCUGGCGGCGUGCUUAACACAUGCAAGUCGAACGAAGAGCGACGGAAGCUUGCUUCUAUCAAUCUUAGUGGCGAACGGGUGAGUAACGCGUAAUCAACCUGCCCUUCAGAGGGGGACAACAGUUGGAAACGACUGCUAAUACCGCAUACGAUCUAAUCUCGGCAUCGAGGAUGGAUGAAAGGUGGCCUCUACAUGUAAGCUAUCACUGAAGGAGGGGAUUGCGUCUGAUUAGCUAGUUGGAGGGGUAACGGCCCACCAAGGCGAUGAUCAGUAGCCGGUCUGAGAGGAUGAACGGCCACAUUGGGACUGAGACACGGCCCAGACUCCUACGGGAGGCAGCAGUGGGGAAUCUUCCGCAAUGGACGAAAGUCUGACGGAGCAACGCCGCGUGAGUGAUGACGGCCUUCGGGUUGUAAAGCUCUGUUAAUCGGGACGAAAGGCCUUCUUGCGAAUAGUGAGAAGGAUGGACGUACCGGAAUAGAAAGCC
RNAcentral lists this ribosomal RNA (494 nucleotides) under Veillonella parvula. RNAcentral describes it as "bacterial SSU rRNA". It matches the Rfam family "Bacterial small subunit ribosomal RNA", at positions 28 to 492 of the family's 1533-position model. The record is from RNAcentral. Lineage: Bacteria; Bacillati; Bacillota; Negativicutes; Veillonellales; Veillonellaceae.